RNAcentral lists this ribosomal RNA (498 nucleotides) under uncultured bacterium. RNAcentral describes it as "partial 16S ribosomal RNA". It matches the Rfam family "Bacterial small subunit ribosomal RNA", at positions 30 to 523 of the family's 1533-position model. The record is from RNAcentral.
AUUGAACGCUGGCGGCAUGCCUUACACAUGCAAGUCGAACGGUAACGGGCCUUCGGGUGCCGACGAGUGGCGAACGGGUGAGUAAUGCAUCGGAACGUACCAUUGAGUGGGGGAUAACUAUCCGAAAGGAUAGCUAAUACCGCAUAUUCUCUUUGGUGGAAAGCAGGGGAUCGCAAGGCCUUGCGCUCUUUGAGCGGCCGAUGUCAGAUUAGCUAGUUGGUGGGGUAAGAGCCCACCAAGGCGACGAUCUGUAGCGGGUCUGAGAGGAUGAUCCGCCACACUGGGACUGAGACACGGCCCAGACUCCUACGGGAGGCAGCAGUGGGGAAUUUUGGACAAUGGGGGCAACCCUGAUCCAGCCAUGCCGCGUGAGUGAAGAAGGCCUUCGGGUUGUAAAGCUCUUUCGGCCGGGAAGAAAUCGGAGUGGCUAAUAUCUGCUCUGGAUGACGGUACCGGACUAAGAAGCACCGGCUAACUACGUGCCAGCCGCCGCUGUAA